RNAcentral lists this ribosomal RNA (253 nucleotides) under uncultured bacterium. RNAcentral describes it as "partial 16S ribosomal RNA". It matches the Rfam family "Bacterial small subunit ribosomal RNA", at positions 524 to 776 of the family's 1533-position model. The record is from RNAcentral.
UACGGAGGGUGCAAGCGUUGUCCGGAUUUAUUGGGUUUAAAGGGUGCGCAGGCGGCGCGUUAAGUCAGAGGUGAAAUCCCGCAGCUCAACUGUGGAACUGCCAUUGAUACUGGCGUGCUUGAGUACGGACGAGGUAGGCGGAAUUUAUGGUGUAGCGGUGAAAUGCAUAGAUACCAUAAAGAACACCGAUAGCGAAGGCAGCUUACUAGACCGUAACUGACGCUCAUGCACGAAAGCGUGGGGAUCGAACAGG